UACGGGGGGGGCAAGCGUUGUUCGGAAUUACUGGGCGUAAAGGGCUCGUAGGCGGCCAACUAAGUCAGACGUGAAAUCCCUCGGCUUAACCGGGGAACUGCGUCUGAUACUGGAUGGCUUGAGUUUGGGAGAGGGAUGCGGAAUUCCAGGUGUAGCGGUGAAAUGCGUAGAGAUCUGGAGGAAUACCGGUGGCGAAGGCGGCCCCCUGGACAAAGACUGACGCUCAGGUGCGAAAGCGUGGGGAGCAAACAGG
Molecule: ribosomal RNA, 253 nt
Filed under: uncultured bacterium
Lineage: Bacteria
Description: partial 16S ribosomal RNA
Rfam family: Bacterial small subunit ribosomal RNA
Source: RNAcentral